This 218-nucleotide long non-coding RNA is filed under the name Lathyrus oleraceus (garden pea). RNAcentral describes it as "Pisum sativum (pea) long non-coding RNA (PSAT_LNC027860)". Lineage: Eukaryota; Viridiplantae; Streptophyta; Magnoliopsida; Fabales; Fabaceae. The record is from RNAcentral.
AGACUUCGACAGAAGGGCGCAUGAGAUAUAUUAUCUAUUACCGUCAUAACGUAGAUAACAUACUCGCAUGGAAGAUUAUCCACAACCGGUUACUGGGUUAAUAAAGGAUAAAUCGACCAAAAAGAAAGGACAUCGGGAUACCGGCAACUGGGUAUAAAAUGAUGACCGAUCAAAGGGGAGAAACAAUCAUUACCAAACAAGAGUAAAUGAAAGAUGAC